This 291-nucleotide long non-coding RNA is filed under the name Mus spicilegus (steppe mouse). RNAcentral describes it as "lncRNA (ENSMSIG00000000834.1)". Lineage: Eukaryota; Metazoa; Chordata; Mammalia; Rodentia; Muridae. The record is from RNAcentral.
AUGUGUGUGUGUGUUUUACUGUUAAGUUUUCCUUUUCUAUUUCAGGCUCAUGCCAGCCAUCUUCCCAAAACAUGUCAGAGGCUUUUUCCCUCUAAAUUCUGGAAUAUUUUGGACAAGAUUGGGAUCCAGUUACCAGUUAUCCUUGUUGAGGAAUCAAAUCAGAGUUUCUACGAAGUUGCCUAUGGCUGCUGGAGACAGGGGAUCCUGUUAGAGAGUAAGGAGGUUGAUAACCUGUCUGAUUAUGAGUCAAGAGGAAAUGUCAAGAAACAAAAUUCAGUGUUUCCUCACUAA